CUACCAAGAAGAACAGAAUCCCCUCCAUCAUGAAGAAACUGUGCGUCGCAGUCGUCGGAGUUUUGCUGCUGGCUUUCCAUCUCACAUCACAGGUGGCCCUGGCGAAUAACGGCACGAAUCCGGACAACACAAACAUCACCACCCCGAGUUCCACGGGGGCUGGUUGUAGGACUACCGCCGCCUUCAUGCUGCUGCUCCCCCCGCUGGCUCUGACCGCUCUUCUCCUCCACAGGUCCUGACCGAGUGGACUGACCGCGCUGGACACAAAAGCAGCACAGUGCUGGGUGGGAAAACUUGUCUAAAGGCGACGCUCACUUUGAAGCAUUCUGCUCGUUCUAUCCUCUGCACUGGCUCUGCAUGGUCUCUGAAAACUACUUUGGCACCACACCGGUCCUCCUAUCCUGCGUGCAGUGGGAGAACACCUCAGACUCGUGUGCAGUGACCAUCUUCGAUUCUGGUUUCAUUCGCCUGAACAUGAUUUGUAAAGGAGCUAAAUUUGUAACCACUGUGCUUUUAGG
Molecule: long non-coding RNA, 518 nt
Organism: Oreochromis aureus
Lineage: Eukaryota; Metazoa; Chordata; Actinopteri; Cichliformes; Cichlidae
Source: Ensembl